Molecule: long non-coding RNA, 1789 nt
Organism: Pseudophryne corroboree (corroboree frog)
Lineage: Eukaryota; Metazoa; Chordata; Amphibia; Anura; Myobatrachidae
Exons: 3
Source: RefSeq, a predicted model, not a curated record
CCGGAGGCAGCGGAGUCUGCUGCCGCCGGGCUCCAGUGCUGUAGGGGGCACCUAGAUCCAGCCUCCUCCAUUGCACUCUGACCGCAGGGCCUUAACUAGGGUAGUGCGGAUGGUGUUCAGACCACAUUUGCCCUGUGGGCACACCAUCCGCAGGCACCCGCCGAUGCGUGCGGUACCACGGUUACGCCACUCUACUGUCCUCCCUCCCACCUCCUCCCCCCAGCCAGUCAUCUCAAUCUGCAAUCUUCCACCAAACCACGCCCCCUUGUGACAAUCGUGGAAGUUCUUCCCCGCCACACAGAAACAGGACACCGUGACAGGCAGCUGAUCAUCCUGGUGUCCACACCGCACAGAUUGUACAUUACGGAUGACGAGGUAGUCACGAGACCAGAAGCGAGUGACGCGGCCGGGGGGUCGUCGCAUGCGGUGACGUCAUCCGGAGGAGUACCGAGGCGUUCAGAAGUUGAGGCAGGUGUCCUGUUUACAGUACACUACUUAAAUGCAGUUGUGAAAGCGGAAUAGAGGUGGGCGACGUUAAGUUGAUGGGAGGAGAAAUGUACUAGAAGGUUCAACCAGUAGCGGAUUUACCACUAGGCAACAAAGGCAACUGCUUAGGGCCUGUCAGGUCCCAGGGGGCCCGCUCAGUGCCGGAUUAACAAUGGGGCGGAUGGAGCUGCAGCUCCAGGUCCUCCGUGCAAAUAAUGCCAAAGUAUCUGCUGCAGAUUGUCCCCCUGUCAGGCACCGAAACGUGACUAGCAUCAGUCUAGAAGAAUCGCAUAAGGGGUAGUGCCACCUGCCAGCAGUGUCAGCCAGUUCAACCACUGCCCCCCCAUCUUGCUGCCUUCCUCUGGGCCCAGUAGCAGCACGGUGUGGCUGGGAGUGAGGACCAGUGUGGCAGCAGGGAAGGUAGUGAGGCAGAUAGGAUGUCUGGAAGCAAGGAAAGAGUGUGGCUUUUAUGGUGCCGCCUGGCAUCAGGCAUGGUGACUGGCCACCUUUAAAGAGAUUACAUUUCAACACUGUUAUUUCUGGAAUACACUAUGUAGCCCUUCUCUAACUCUUGAUACCUGCUUCAAGGAAAAACCCCAGUGAUGGAAGACACCAACAAAGAGAUAGACUUUGAGGGCUCAGGUAACACCAGAACUACUUUUUUUCAACAAAACUGUUAACAGAGCCGACCCUAGCUAUAGGCAGACAAGGGAAUUGCCUAGGGCAUCUGCUUUCACCUAGUGGCUAGCUCAGUAAUCAUUGAUGGUAGUGGGGCACCCGAUGUUCUGUGCCCGCCGGUGGCUCUGCUCUUAUCUGAGCAGAGCCGCCAGCGGUAGCGCCUGAGAGUGUACCUGCGGCUACUCAGUCACCCACUAUCUCCCUGUCUCCCUAUCCCCAACUAUCUCGGAGGGGGGGAGGGCACCAAACAGAAUCUUGCCUAGGGCAUCAAAUUGGCUAGGGCCGGCUCUGACUGUUAACAUGUGUCCUUCACCUUUUCUAGGCAAUGCCAGUGACCUUAUUCCAUACUUGAGCCAAUACUUUUACAGGACCACAGCAAUAUCAGUGCAAAACACUCUAACCAAAGCAUUCGGAUCUCAGUCGAAAUCCAGGAACUACUGAUUAGUCGAGUGCAGCUCUUCCAGCCAUACGGAACUGAUUGACUGUGUAGCUCACACUACAUGAGACUGUUACACCAUGUUAGUUUCUCAAUAGCAUUGUAAGUUCUUACUUGUCCUGUUCUUACUAUUUUCCGUUUCUACUGUAUUUCAUGGUGUAACACCAAUAAAAUAACUUUCAUACAUAA